GCACAUUGAGUGAGGGUCCUUCACCACCUUCCAGACACUUCUUUCACAAGAAAAUUGAUUGGCAGAGGCGUACUUUUCACUUGUCACUCCAGGUUUAAGUGUGUCUUUGCAAUAUUUCAUACCUAAAGAUUUCUUUUGAGAGAAAUUUUGACCUGGAUCUCUUGCAUUGUCCUGUGCAAUUUAUGUUUAUCUUCCUCCUGCUGUUGGUGCCAUCUAUUGAUUUCCAGCUGCUGCCUUUUUACCUAAUCCUUGGUGCAGAGGGAGAUUUAAUCAAACAAAAGGUCCACACUGGCUCCUUGGGAAUGGCUCAAGGUGCUUUGAAUCUCUCUCAGACACAGGACCAUGGGUCUGUGCUGAAGCCACGAUCAUCUCAUCACUCAUUCCACCUGGCCAGCCUUGCUUUUCAUGUCAUGGACGCUGAGUUACACUGGCAGCCCCCAGCAAACUGGGCACCUUAACUCUGGGGACGGAUCUGCUCCCAGCUGCCUGUUUAGGGUAAGUUUUUCUGGGAAGAAACUGUGUGGAGGGUGGUGUUUUGGGCUUUUUUAGGAUAUGUGUGUGUGCCACUGCAAUGCCUGCUAACCACUAUGAGCUAUGACCAGAAUUUUUCUAGUUUUACUGAAUAUUGACCCUUCAUUUCUGUGGCAUGACAUUGUUUACUAAGUAAUGCUGUGUGCUAUCAGCCAGUCCAGGUCACCAACAGCUUCAGUUGGCUUUACUCUCUUUUAUCUGCCACGUUUGCAGUCAAGCCCUGUGAAUAAUCAUGGCAAUUUGUUGUGAUCCAAGCUCAGGCUUUGCACCUACAUGCAGGGGCUUUGCUAUCAGUGACUAACUCUUCUAGGUCUUUCUUUCCAGAGGCUCUGUGACAAGGCUCAGGGCUCUCUUGAAAGCUGCACCCUCCUGAGCUGCUGGAGAAGGUUCAGACACAGAGCUUCACUCCUGCAACAGAAACAUGGGACACCUGGCUCUGCAGUAAGGGGAAUUCAAACCUAAAAGCUCUGGAAAACAGGCCUGCUUCUAUCGUGUGAUUACCUCCACUGAAUGCCUCCUAUAUUUGAUUGACAAGGUAAAAAAUAUUCUGUAUAGUAGGCAUGAGAGCCUGUAAGGAAACAGCCGUUGUUUGUCCCUUCUGUAUUUCACAUUUUGGAUCUGCACUUGCACGCUGUAUUGAAGCUAAAAAAUAGAAAUUCAUCACCCAGAUCUGCAAAGCACACAGUGCCAGUCUUCCCUUAAUAGGACACCAGAAAACCAAAGCCGUGUUUCCCAGUAGAGGCCCUUCAAUGGCUUUGAUUGUUAAAUGGUUUCAGUUACAUCUUUAUGAGUUUUCAGUUAUCCAUGGCUUCAAGUAUGAAAUCCAUGGCAAGAGUAGGACAAAGCACUGUUCUUCUGAGGGCACAGAUCCUGACAGGCAUUGCUGCAUUCCUUCCCGGGGUAGCUGGAGUUCCGAGCCACUAAUCUGAAUUCCAGAAGACCCCCAUAGUCCAGGACAACAAGCACGAGUGCCUGUGUAGGGCAUGUGCCAUGGUUCUGUCCAGGGUGGGCAGUGCCUCAGCCCUUGCCCUGUGUGCUCUGGGGCUGGGGGGUCUCGGGGUUCAAGUUCAACAGAGGCUGUUCCCUGCAGGAGCUGCCUGUGCCUGCUGAUGUCCACUACAUCCCCAGGGGAAAGUGAUUUGGAGAAUGCAGCUACAGGGUAAAUUGCUACUUGUUUCUCUUGCAUUUCACUUCACACCAGCAGUCUCGAUGCUGCUUCCUUAACAAAGGAUUAAAUCCUUAAAUGGAUUUACUAAUCAACUGCUUUUCUUUCCAUACCCACUCUGCUUCUCCUCACAUCUUCUCAGACCUGAGAGGAUAACUAAAGGCUCAGAAUGCUCAUACUCAUUUCUAUUAUAAGAAGAAGAGAAUACACUGAUUCUAAGAAAUUCCACUUUUGGAAAUAGCUUUGGUUUUUUUGCUGCAAGAACCAUGGUGUUCUAAAUAGACUGCAGCUCUUCACAUUCAGUCUCAAUAGAAAAUAAAAUGGAGGAAGUGCAGAAGGCAGCACUGGCAUGAUUUGCAUAUAGUCUUUGAAAACAAGCCUCAGAUAGUGGCAACUGAAAACCAGCUUUAUAUCAGGCUCUUGCUGCAGCAGUGCUCAAGUCAAAGAAAGAAAACCUGUCCUUGUGACAAAAUAACCCUCACUCUGGUGUGUAUCUGAAACAAACAAAAACCGAUAAGACAUUGUUAUUUUAAAGAGAAC
Sturnus vulgaris (Common starling) is the source of this 2236-nucleotide non-coding RNA. The record is from RefSeq and is a predicted model, not a curated record. NCBI's taxonomy places the organism in Eukaryota, Metazoa, Chordata, Aves, Passeriformes, Sturnidae.